UCCAAAGAACAACUUGGUGAGGAUCUGUCA
This 30-nucleotide non-coding RNA is filed under the name Rattus norvegicus (Norway rat). Lineage: Eukaryota; Metazoa; Chordata; Mammalia; Rodentia; Muridae. The record is from RNAcentral.